UGNUCUGUCACUGACGCUGAGGCUNGAAAGCGUGGGUAGCGAACAGGAUUAGAUACCCUGGUAGUNCACGCCGUAAACGAUGAGUGCUAGGUGUUAGGCCCUUUCCGGGGCUUAGUGCCGGAGCUAACGCAAUAAGCACUCCGCCUGGGGAGUACGACCGCAAGGUUGAAACUCAAAGGAAUUGACGGGGGCCCGCACAAGCGGUGGAGCAUGUGGUUUAAUUCGAAGCAACGCGAAGAACCUUACCAGGUCUUGACAUCCCGAUGCUAUUCUUAGAGAUAGGAAGUUACUUCGGUACAUCGGAGACAGGUGGUGCAUGGUUGUCGUCAGCUCGUGUCGUGAGAUGUUGGGUUAAGUCCCGCAACGAGCGCAACCCUUAUUGUUAGUUGCCAUCAUUAAGUUGGGCACUCUAGCGAGACUGCCGGUAAUAAACCGGAGGAAGGUGGGGAUGACGUCAAAUCAUCAUGCCCCUUAUGACCUGGGCUACACACGUGCUACAAUGGUCGGUACAAUGAGUUGCGAGCCGGUGACGGCAAGCUAAUCUCUGAAAGCCGAUCUCAGUUCGGAUUGGAGGCUGCAACUCGCCUCCAUGGAGUCGGAAUCGCUAGUAAUCGCGGAUCAGCACGCCGCGGUGAAUACGUUCCCGGGCCUUGUACACACCGCCCGUCACACCACGAGAGUUUGUAACACCCGAAGUCGGUGAGGUAACCUUU
Molecule: ribosomal RNA, 713 nt
Filed under: uncultured bacterium
Lineage: Bacteria
Description: bacterial SSU rRNA
Rfam family: Bacterial small subunit ribosomal RNA
Source: RNAcentral